UGCAUUUUAAUAUAUGAGGUAUAAAAAUUUUUGAUAUUUUUAGAAAUAGUUUGAUUCUGUUAAGUGUAG
RNAcentral lists this transfer RNA (69 nucleotides) under Trapezodirus sp. 1 EF-2015. Its description in RNAcentral is "tRNA-Gln". Lineage: Eukaryota; Metazoa; Arthropoda; Insecta; Coleoptera; Leiodidae. The record is from RNAcentral.